GACGAACGCUGGCGGCGUGCUUAACACGUGCAAGUCGAACGGGCCCGCUCUCUUUUUUGGGGGUGGGUUGAGUGGCGAACGGGUGAGUAUCACGUGAGUAACCUGCCCCCUGCUCCUGGAUAACUGCUUGAAAGGGCGGCUAAUACGGGGUGUGCCGGCUGGUCCGCAUGGGCCUGGUCGGGAUAGUUUCAUCUUCGGGUGUUUCGGUGGGGGAUGGGCUCGCGGCCUAUCAGCUUGUUGGUGGGGUGAUGGCCCACCAAGGCGGUGACGGGUAGCCGGCCUGAGAGGGUGGGCGGCCACACUGGGACUGAGACACGGCCCAGACUCCUGCGGGAGGCAGCAGUGGGGGGUAUUGCACAAUGGGCGGAAGCCUGAUGCAGCGACGUCGCGUGAGGGAUGGAGGCCUUCGGGUUGUGAACCUCUUUCUCCGGUGGUGAAGGCCCUGUCCGUUGCGGCGGGGUUGACGGUAGCCGGGGAUGAAGCGCCGGCUAACUACGUG
Molecule: ribosomal RNA, 499 nt
Filed under: uncultured bacterium
Lineage: Bacteria
Description: partial 16S ribosomal RNA
Rfam family: Bacterial small subunit ribosomal RNA
Source: RNAcentral